UACUCGAGUGGCGAACGGGUGAGUAACACGUGGGUGAUCUGCCCUGCACUUCGGGAUAAGCUUGGGAAACUGGGUCUAAUACCGGAUAGGAGCCAUCUUUAGUGUGGUGGUUGGAAAGUUUUUUCGGUGUGGGAUGAGCUCGCGGCCUAUCAGCUUGUUGGUGGGGUAAUGGCCUACCAAGGCGGCGACGGGUAGCCGGCCUGAGAGGGUGUACGGCCACAUUGGGACUGAGAUACGGCCCAG
Molecule: ribosomal RNA, 243 nt
Filed under: uncultured Actinomycetales bacterium
Lineage: Bacteria; Bacillati; Actinomycetota; Actinomycetes; Actinomycetales
Description: partial 16S ribosomal RNA
Rfam family: Bacterial small subunit ribosomal RNA
Source: RNAcentral